RNAcentral lists this signal recognition particle RNA (264 nucleotides) under Anaerolineae bacterium. Its description in RNAcentral is "signal recognition particle sRNA large type". It matches the Rfam family "Bacterial large signal recognition particle RNA". From Rfam's summary of the family: The signal recognition particle (SRP) is a universally conserved ribonucleoprotein involved in the co-translational targeting of proteins to membranes. Archaeal SRP consists of a 7S RNA and homologues of the eukaryotic SRP19 and SRP54 proteins. Lineage: Bacteria; Bacillati; Chloroflexota; Anaerolineae. The record is from RNAcentral.
UCGUGCUAGACGGGGAGCUGGCGGUGCCCUGUACCCGCAAUCCGCCAUAGCGGGGUCGAAUUCCCCCCCGAGGGUUUACUUGCUCGAAACUGCUGGCACCGAAAAGCGUUGAAAGAUGGGUCCUGCACGGCGGAAGCCUCCAAACCCCGCCAGGUCCGGGAGGAAGCAACGGUAAGGAGAUCCUUCUGGGUGUUGCAGGGUAGCCUGCCUGGAGCUGGACGGUGUGGGUAAGCCGGGUAGUGUGACUCGACGGGGGGUGCACGA